This 2090-nucleotide long non-coding RNA is filed under the name Homo sapiens (human). RNAcentral describes it as "HSALNT0030319". The record is from RNAcentral. Lineage: Eukaryota; Metazoa; Chordata; Mammalia; Primates; Hominidae.
CUCCUGUCCUAACACAAUGCAUAGAAAAAAUACUUGAUAAAACCUCACUGAAUGAAUGAAUGUCAAAGGCUGAAUUCAUGAAUUCUAGGGACGUGUUCUACAAUAGUAAUGAUGAUGAUGCUUCUAGGACACUGCAAUCUCUCCCUCAUAAGUGAGCACCUCGGAUUUAACUGUCCAGCAUCAUUUGGAGCACAGGGCGGAGGAUUAUACCGAGGAACCACACCCAUGUCAUUUGAAUUGUCCACAAGACCACUAUAAGGACUUUCCAGGACCAUCACAAGGCUGCAAACCGCAUUUGAAGUGCUGCUUCUGGGGCAUUCUUUCCAAAGAGCCUUUUAGCAGGGCAGGGAGUGAAAGGUGAGGACAAGCCUAGGAAAUACAUAAUCCAAGGCUAGGGAGAUAGAAGCUUAAUAUUUACUGCCGUGCCUGGGAAAAGUGAGGCUUGUCGUUGUCAUCUGGGCAAUUCUCCCUCGGACUAGCUCCUCUCUGUGGCCUCCUGGGGUAACUAAUGUCUUCCAGCAGCACUUCUUGCUCCAGGAAUCUGGAAUCUUAGCUGAGUGCUAUGAAGACGGUUCUGAUUAAUUGAUACACUUAAGGUAUGCACUAUCGGUUGCUAUCCUAAUCCUCCCAGGAGAUUACCUUUUCAAAGCGCUGGAAGAUUAACGAGAAUUUCAGAUGCCGUAGCAAUUUGAAGGGAAAAAAUUGUGGCCUCCACAGUGCCAGCUUGCCUGCCAUGAGGGAGACAUAUUUGAGAGUCCUUCAGCUCCCUGUGGGCUGUACAUCCAAGCAAGAAAGUCCAGAUCUUGCAUCUGAGUUGGCAACUGAAGGAAGAGACCUUGAAUCAGCACAGCAGUCAGAAUUCUGCUUGAGGGCAGCUUUGCUGAAACUAAAAGGAACAACUUUAUCUAGAACAGUCUCUCUGCACAUUCGCUUUCCCCUGUGGCAGUUGCGAUGUUAGAUUAAGUCUAUGUAUAUGUAGGGCAGAAGCGAAGUGCAGGAGGGGGUGGAGAGAAUGAUGGGAAAGAAAAGGCUCCUUCUAAACACACAUGUAUGUCAGCAUUACCAGGUGCUCUGCUGAAACCGGUAGGAUGAACACCUUCCGAACAGGCUGCAUUCCUCCCGAGGAAACUGAAGAGUGUAACCUCACAGUGAAAUUCCCCCCAAGUCUUUGGCUCUGCAGGAAGCUUCUGGCUAUUUUUCAGGAGAUGCGUUUGCUGCAGGAGGAGCAGGACUUCCUUUCAAAGGAGCAAUUGGGCCGGGCCCGGUAGCUCACGCCUAAAAUCCCAGCACUUUGGGAGGCCGAGGUGGGCUGAUUACUUGAGUUCAGGAGUUCAAGAUCAGCCUGGACAACAUGGUGAAACCCCAUCUCUACUAAAAAUACAAAAAUCAGCCAGGCAUGGUGGUACGUGCCUGUAAUACCAACUCCUCAGGAGGCUGAGGCAGGAAGACCACUUGAGCCAGGAGCCAAAGGUUGGUCACCAGUGAGCCGAGAUCAACCACUGCACUCCAGCCUGGAGAACAGAGAAAUACCCUGUCUCAAAAAAUAAAAAAUAAAAAAGUGCAACUGAUUUCAUUCCGGAAGAAGCUCCUCAAUUCCUCCUACUUCUGCUGCUUGGCAGGGCCCUUGGUGUCCUCUACCUUUUCUCUUCACCUUCAUCUGCCAAUCUCUGGGCACCCUCUCCCUCAUCAGUGAAGACUUUGGUCUCUCACUCAGCCUCUCAGUUUUGCUCAAUAAAAAUGUGCUGCAUGAGCGAGCUGAGAUCGCGCCACUGCACUCCAGCCUGGGUGACAGAGUGAAACUCCGUCAAAAAAAAAAAAAAGUGCCACAUGAAUGAAUGAAUGCUGUGUUCUUUCCAACCCAAACAUCUGCCUCAGGAGCUGCCAUGUUCUUCCAUGAAUUCCACCUCCCCAGUUGAUUUUUCCAGGGGAUGGGUAAGAGUCAAAGUCCUCCCCAGACUUUUUCAUCCUGGAACCAAGAAAGGCGGUCAGUGUAUCUCCAGUGUAAAAGCUAAGAUGUCAUUCACCAGGGCUGGCAGCAGCCCUACUUACCACCUUGGGAGGAAGCUGCCUGCAGUGACAGAGGACAGAGU